UUAAAUGGCCGCAGUAUUUUGACUGUGCAAAGGUAGCAUAAUCAUUAGUUUCUUAAUUAGAAGCUGGAAUGAAAGGUUGAACGAAAAAAUAACUGUCUCUUUAUAAAUUUAUUAGAAUUUUAUUUUUAAGUUAAAAAGCUUAAAUAUUUUUAAAAGACGAGAAGACCCUAUAGAGUUUUAUAUAAUUUUUUAUAUUUAAAUUUAUUUAUUUAUUAUAUAGAUUAUAUAAUAUAUUAUAUUUAGUUGGGGUGAUUGAAAAAUUUAAUUAACUUUUUUUUUAUAAAACAUUUUUUUAUGAAUAAUUGAUCCAUUAAUAGUGAUUAAAAGAUUUAAUUACCUUAGGGAUAACAGCGUAAUUUCUUUUUAGAGUUCUAAUCAAUAAAGAAGUUUGCGACCUCGAUGUUGGAUUAAAAUAUAGUUUUGGUGUAGAAGCUAGAAUAUUAGGUCUGUUCGACCUUUAAAAUUUUACAUGAUCUGAGUUUAAACCGGUGUAAGCCAGGUUGGUUUCUAUCUUUAAAUAGUUAAAAUAUUUUAGUACGAAAGGACCAAAUAUUUAAAAAAAUUUUUUUAGUAUUGAAUAGGAUUAAAGG
Molecule: ribosomal RNA, 590 nt
Filed under: Ocyustiba sp. ZMUN 10051226
Lineage: Eukaryota; Metazoa; Arthropoda; Insecta; Coleoptera; Staphylinidae
Description: partial 16S ribosomal RNA
Rfam family: Bacterial large subunit ribosomal RNA
Source: RNAcentral